Molecule: ribosomal RNA, 309 nt
Filed under: uncultured eukaryote
Lineage: Eukaryota
Description: partial 18S ribosomal RNA
Rfam family: Eukaryotic small subunit ribosomal RNA
Source: RNAcentral
CCCUUAGAUGUUCUGGGCGGCCCGCGCACUACAAUGGCGUGUGCAGCGAGUGCCGAAGUAGAGUUUUCCGAGGUAUUCUUGCAAUGCUCGUUUUGAUGGGGAUAGACCCUUGCAACUGUUGGUUUUGAACGAGGAAUUCCUUGUAAGCAUGGUUUAUCAUCCGACGCUGAAUGCGUCCCUGCCCUUUGUACACACCGCCCGUCGCUCCUACCGAUGAGUCGCCCGGUGAAGUUCGUAGACCUCGUGAUUGCGGAUCACUGGGGGAAGCAAAAUGAACCUCGCGGUUUAGAGGAAGGAGAAGUCGUAACA